Molecule: long non-coding RNA, 151 nt
Organism: Xyrauchen texanus (razorback sucker)
Lineage: Eukaryota; Metazoa; Chordata; Actinopteri; Cypriniformes; Catostomidae
Exons: 3
Source: RefSeq, a predicted model, not a curated record
GUCAGCACGGGUGAACUCCAAGGACAAAAAGACCAAAAGUUAAGUCCACCCCCAGUGCAAGCUUUCCAGUAGAUACCGUGUUUUGAGUGUUAAAACUUCCCAAUGUCCGACCAACAUGAAAAAACAGGAAAUAGGGUCAUAGAAGACAUAC